Molecule: long non-coding RNA, 9373 nt
Organism: Zonotrichia leucophrys gambelii
Lineage: Eukaryota; Metazoa; Chordata; Aves; Passeriformes; Passerellidae
Exons: 2
Source: RefSeq, a predicted model, not a curated record
GAUCCUUGGGGGUCACUUCCAACCCAGAAUAUUCUGUGAUUCUGUAAUCUGCAGAAAUAAAAAGGGGGGAAAAAAAAAAGCAAACACAGAAAGUUUUCUGUAUUAUGUGGGUCCCCCCAUCACUAAACAAAGGUGAUCCUGACAUCUUCGUGGUGGUAUCUGAGUCUGCUGGUGGUGAAGCUUACCUGGGUAAGCCAGCUUACCCCAGGGUUCAUUCACACCUUUAGACUGCAUGUGAGGCUUGCCAGGUGCCCAAGGAGGAUCAUCAGAAGUGAUGUUCUUGGAGAUGCUUCACCAGGAUAACCCGAUCCUGGCUCUAAAAGAGCGCUCACAGAUAGGGGAAAAAUAUGUGGCAGAGGGGAAGCCAAUGUGUAAUACUCACUGCAGCCUGUCAAUUUGACUUUUAAUGAUGUUAUAAAUCUGCUUUAAAUUCCUGGUCAGUUUUAAAUAGAUCAGCUGGACAAUUUUCCUUCAUCUCUCCUUUCUAUCUUAUUUUCACUGUAUCCAAAUGUCAUCCCUUUCUGUCCUACUGCAUAACUGCUUACUCAGUUCUGCAAGAAAUACAAAAAUUCUACUUUCCUAGAAACAGAAGCUUUGGGGGAUUUUUCAUAAUUAAGGACAUUUGAUCUAUGAUUUUUUUUUCAUGACCCUUAAAUAAAGUAAGUAUAAUACAGGUAAUAGGGGGCAGAAGUGUUUUUUUUUUUUUUUUCCCCCAAAGGAAAUUAAUUAUUCCAACUCUUAUUUUCAUCCUGAAUUAGAAUGAGGUGGCAAAGCACCAAAUUAUCCCUGCACUGGAAGCUUAAAAAGCUUGUCUUUAAGCAACAUCCUAAUUUUAGUUUUUGCAAUCAUUCCUGCUAACAUACUGCAAUUAAAUAACUGUGGGACAACUCUCUGGGCUACCUGGGCAGAAGGAUGCUGUGUGCACACACUCUGGGGUGCACAGGGUAGAUCACUGUUUGUCUGGGAUAUCCAGCUCUCCAGCAGCUCAGUCUUAGUUACAGUCACCAUUCCAUCACAGAUCUGCUUGGGGAUGGUGGGCUAGGAGGGAGGAUUUAUGGAUGUGAAUAUUGCUGUUACAGUGUUUUCUUUUAAUUCAUCAAGCUACUGUUGGAUGCUUGCUUUUUUUCUCAGUUUGAUACAAACCUGAAUACCACAGGGAUUUAUUAUAAUUCCAUAUGCACUGUGAAGUCCAAAUGUAGGGUAAGCUAAAUCAUAGUAUAAUCUGCCCUAGGAGCUUUAGUCAUGCAUUCAGAUGGGAAACUGAAUUAUUUUACAGGAGAUAUAAUUAAAUCAGUGAUUCCUCUCUGUAGAAAAGCUCUAUGAGCCAUCUUAACAAAUGCUGUUACAUGCUUCCUUAGGGACUAACACAGGGGCAAACAAAUAUUGAAACAGUUUUUGAUUUUAUUUUGCAAAUGAAAAUGUCAAGAAUCAGAUCUACUUGCCCCAAGAAGAAAUAUUAUAUUUAAAAUUACCUAAAACAAAUUUGAAUGUCAUGGUAAAAUUGAAAUUUUAACAGAUACAUUUUUUCAUUAAAAAUUUUUGAGCAGAAAUUGUCCAAAAGUUCCACAGGCUUGUUCUGGCAUUUCAAAUCCCUGUAAUGCUUUUAGUGAACUGCUCUGGUAGUAACAAGUCAAAAGGAGUAUAUUAACAGAUAAACUAUUCCUAGGUUACAUUCUGUUCUUCAUUAAAUUAAUGAAGUGUUACUGAAGUUCUUCUCCAGUUUUUACAAUUAACACUGUUCCUCAAAUUUGCUCAGCUUAGAGAAAGUAAAGGCAUUUUUCAUAUUGCAUCUCCUUGGUGAUAUAAACUGGCAGAAGAGAUAACAGCAUGACUUUAACAUGUUGCUGUUAAAUGCCCAAAUCUUUGGCUACAAAUUAGUCAUAGUUGAUACAAAAACCAUGAAAUCACCUGUCUUUAGAAUUCCAUUAUAUUAUCUGGUGGUAAGAUAUUUGAAUGUGGAUACUGCGAGCAAGGAAUUGUUCCUUACACUAUGUCAUGAUAUUCCUAUUAUUUCUCUGAAAUUAUACCCAUACUGUCUCCAUUGCCAUUGCCAUUCUGCAACAUACUUUCACAAUGCAAAAGUAGCAAUUGCUGAAAAGUAAGGUAAUUGUGCCUUAAAUUCAAGAGGGAUUGCAUUAUGAGAAUUGAUGGAAAAGGACUACAAAUGAGAAUUAUGGUAAAGUGCAGUAACAAUUAAUGGACACAGUAAAAGUGGAAUCUAUUCAUACACAACAAUGUACAAAUCUGUCCCAGCAGUGUCUCCAAGCAUUCAGAGUCAGGCAGCACAAGUUGAAAGAGGGGAAUUGAAUUAGAAAGCAAAGGGGCAAAGAAGAGGGAGAUAUCACUGUUGAAGUAGGUGAAACCUGUGUUAGAAGAAAGUUAGCAGUAGGUUUUGAAGUAAGAAGCAGGUUUUGAAUUGAGGAAAAAUUAGUUAAUGAAAAGGAGAGGGCAGCAAAGGACAGAAUAAUUUAAUUUCUUACAGUUCAAAAACAUUUAAUGUUCCAAACUUUAUUGCUUUCCUCAUCUUUUAAAUCCUAUACCUACUUUCAAUUCCUUUCACAUUGCUGCUCAUAUUCUGAAUAACAAGGCAUUUUUAUUCUUUAAAAAAGUAGCAGACUCUGCUGUUUGUUGCACAAUACAUAAGAUGUAAUUGUGUCAGGAUUAUGAUAAGGGGAUGACUUGAUUUAUGUAAAAAUAUUGUGGGGGUUUUUUACCCCAAGAAAGCACUUGAGAGAAACAUAUAGAUGAGGAUCCAGAGCCAGUUAGAUAAUGAACUAAUUUCUAUGAGUCUUUGGCAGUUUGAGGUACACACUACAGAAAUUAUUUUUCACACAGAAUUCUUUAAAACUCCUGUACAUUUUACCAUCUGCCCUAGAGUUCUAUUUCUAGAUAAUUUUUGAUCUUUACAAAACAUCUGGUAGUAUCACUGUCUUUCUGCAAAUAUUUUAUUUUAACUCAUUCUUUUUCAACAGAGAGAGCUGGUCACAAGCAUAUGUACACCCACAAAUAGCUGUUGCCUUUUAGUAGUCUCCACACCAUAUGUUAAUUGAUGCUGUAAAGAAAUGGCACUUAAAACAAAUGCACAGAGAUAAGCAUAGAUAUCUCUGCCCUUAGCUUUCCUUCACAAGCAAUUAAUACCAAGGUCAAUCAAGUUAAUCUGCAGGACAUGAUGGUUCUUUGUUUUCUAACUUAUAAGCUGAUGGCCUUCAAGAUUUUUGUAAGUUUCUCAGCAAAAUAAGUAAGGGAGAGGCAUUUCAUUUGUCCCUGCAUUGCUCGGUGAUUACUCUGGGAUGGAAUGUCUCUGAUCUUUAGCCAGGUGGGAGCUGCACAUGAUUACUCAGUGCUUCUUGCUGAGCACACUAAGGGCAUUGGACAAAAUCAUCCAUCAGGCACCAGCCCAGGACAAAUGAAAGGUACAUUUCUUAUAAUUCUUAAAUGAACUGUAGAAAUCAGAAGUACAGACUGUUGUAGAUAAUGUAUCAUAAGGAUUCAAAAACCAUGAGAUGUUCCAGUAGAAGCUGGCUUACAUAAAUCCUGAGUAUUUUACAGAAACAAACUUAUCCUUGAUAAAUCUCCUCCACCAAAUGUCUGCUAUUAGCCAUUUCAGAGUCAGGAGAGAGGGCUACCAGCAUUUUUUAUAUCAUCAUGAUCAUUCCUAUGAUAUGUUCCAUGCUCACAAACUGGUGUGCAGAAUAAUGUCUUUCACUUUCCAAGAUGUGUGAUUUCUUAAUGACCAUGCCAAACAGAAUGGAUUUUGGUGCAGCUUAUAAAUAAUUUCAGUAAUCCUAGCAUUCUCAGCUUGCAUUAUCACUUCAUUUACUCCUAAUAUUAAAACCUGCAUUCUACUAAAGUUUCAGGCACAGUUGUUUUUCAUAUGGAGUAUUUUGCCUUUUGUUAUUUUAAAAAGCCAUCUCUCUGUCAGUAUCAUAUAACCCUUUUAAGUAGAAGAAAAUUUUAAGACUUUGAAGACUUGAAAGAACUGCUUAUUACUGUCCUAUAAAACCUGAUCAUGUCAGCAUACUGACAUAGCACUUUUUUACCACACAUAAUUUUGCACUUUGUAUUUGUAUCAUUAAAACUUAACAUUCGUUCAAAUACAUAAUUUAAUACAAGUUUUUUCACAUGUAUAAUAUUUGUAUUUGACUCAAAGAAAUUUUAGACUUCAGAAGCAGAGUGAACAGAACUCUUUGAUGGUUCAGAUCCAGGGAAACUUGAUGAAAUUGUUUGUGCAGGACUUUACAUUUUCCCCUUGUUGAAGUCCAAAGGCUCCUCUCAGCCCAUUUUUCCAGCCUGGAAAGUCCUACUGGAUGGCAGAAUGACCCUCUAAGGUCUCAACCAAUCCUCCCAGUUUUGUGUCAUUGGCAAACUUGCUGAGGGUACAUGCUCCCCAUUGUUCAGACUGUUAAUGAAAAUACGAACUAGAAUUUGACUCAGAAUUGACCUCUGAGGUAAACUCCAAGUUAUUGGCCUCCAGUAAGACUUCAGGACACUUAGCACUACCCUCUGAGCCUGGCCAUUCAGCCAGUUUUCAAUCCAGCUCACUGUCUGGCAUUCAGACUAGACUUCGUUAGCUUCUUCAUGAGCAUCUUAGAAGAAAUGGGUUUGGACGUGAACCCAGUUUAUGAUACACCCGGAUCAGGUGGGAGUGCCUGAGUACCUCCACUGUGGGGGACCUUUCAUUUCUCUGGUGAAAGCACUCAUAUCUGAGUCUGGAGGCACUUCAGGGGUCUUUGAUAGUUUAUGACACCAUCUGAGACAUGACAGUUUUCUCUUCCUGUGUCAGCACAGCAGGGCCAGGAAUGCCCCAUCAGACCCUCCCUGGAGGAUGGGAGUUUUACAACCCCGAGGUUUAUGAAAGGAGGAGAGUUUAGCCUCACAAGAGGCACCACCCUAUCCCCAUAGGAUUUGUCUCUUACUUCACUCAUAGCACAUCAUUCACCCUGUGUUUUACCAGAUCAUUACACACCCAAAAGCUCCCCUCCCCCAUCUCCAACCCUAUCUUCCACAAAGCAUCCUGGGACCUCCACAAGUGGGGAGUGUUUUGAGUCAUUAACCCAUAACAGUCCAUAACCCAAAACACCCUGUGUCUUCCCUUUGGCAAAUAACAGGUUGGUUAAAGAUCCCUAUGAGGACAAGGGCCUGCAAAUGUGAGAAUGCUCCUAUCUCCUUUAUGUAGGGUGUGUAUAACUAUUUCACCCUUCUGGUCAGGCAGCCUGUAUCAGACAGCCACUACUCUGAUGUUUAUCCAUCAGUUUUUAGGUGGCUCAUCACCAUCCCCAAGCAGAGCUGCAAAUAUUCUGUCUCAUAUAAAGAGCUACUCCACCUUGUCUUUCCAGCCUGUUCUUCCUAAGGAGCCUUUGUCUCUCCAUUGCAACCAGUCAAGGGAUCCAUGGCACCAUGUCUUUGUGAUCUCAGGAUCCUAGCCCUGGAGCAGUACGCAGAUUUUUGAUUUAUGCUCACACCUCAUGUUGUGAACCUAAGUGUAUGUGCCCAUCUGGAUGUUACAAGGCAACACCCAUCGUACCAAGUGUCCCUACUUAUAAAGGUGCAGCUUCACAGUAAACAGGUAAAACUAAUGCUUGCUUUUAACUGCUGUUGCUGAGACACCAUUUUUUAGACCUAAUAGGGGUUUGUCUUUUUAUUUAGUUUCAUUGAUGAUCCAGUGCAGGUAGCUCAGUUUGAAAGCUGCAAUGUAAGCUGCAGGUUGAGCUCUGGAUGAUGAGAGCCUGAGGCAAGAAGCCAUGACUUGCCAACCCUUUGCACAACUAAGAGCACGGGCACUUAGGUCCCCUGCCAGGGGACAGACAUGGCAGGACCCUUUGCCCCCCAGACUGUCACUCAGACUGUGAUGGUAUAAAAGGCCAAGAGUUCCUUUGUUCUCGGUCCCUCCUUGGAAGUAGCAGCUCAAGCUUAGUUUUGUUUCUGGUUAUUGCACCAUGAUUAAGUUAUUUGAAGGAUCUGGAUGUCCAAGACUGCAGUCUUGGAAACUGGGAAACCUGAGGUCGAGCAGGUGAGGAAACCUGGUGUGAGAGCAGGAGGUGCAGCUGUGAAAGAGCCUUGGUCCCACUCAGGUCGUGCGAGAGUGACUGUGCCAGAGGGCUCCUGGAUGAUGAGACAGGAGUUUAUUUAAAAGUUUUAUCUUCACCCAUAAAUCAUUUCUGUUCUAAGCUGUUGUUAACCUGUUUUUGCAUUCCUUUCCCAUGAAAAGGUGCUAAAGUUUUAAGUAGAGUGUAACAAAGAAGAACCCCUUCUAGUGACAAGACAACUUAAAAAGGUCCUUUUAAAAGACUGACCCCUCUGGGAAGGAUGUUGAGACAUUUCCUUUUUUUCACGACUGAACAAUUUCCUUGAGAAUUUUCUCCCCAAAAAUCUCUGCAUCAGCUUGCCUCGCAGCCCUUGUUGCUCUGAAUAUCAUGAGGUAUGGCAUGGAAAUCUCCACUAUUAUUAGGUGAGAAGCCUGCACCCCUUUCCCUGACUUUAGGUGUUGUGGUAUUGUAUUGCUCAUUAAUCAAUAAUUAGGCAUAUUGUUAUAGAUGACUUUAUGAAGGCAUGAACUCAGUUUUGGCAAAGCAGUACAAUUUGUUCCAUGCAUGGCAGUCUGCCUUAGCAACAAAGUCUGGAAUCACAUUUCUUCUCAUUUUGAAGUCACAUUUGGAGAUUUUUCAGGUAUUAGAACUGCAUUUUCAAACCUCUCUGUGCUCUCAUUUAAGAUGUCUUUGGGAUUAUCUCUUCUUGUGAAAUUCUGACUGCUGACAUCAGGUACAUUCAAAUGGAAAAGAAAUUUCAUCUGUUUCAGGAAUAAAUCCCAUAUGCAUUCAAAAGAAAUCUUUCUUUGAAACUAUCAAUCAGCAAGUCAUGUUGGAAAGAAUUCAGACAUCACUAAAUAAACAUGAUGAUUUGCUCUGUGCUGAAAAUAUUGAUGUUGAAUAUUCAACAUGUAAUGACAGAAGAGAAAAAUAUUUGUUUGGUCUGAUUUAUACGCAUGUAGCCAGAAUCUCUUUCAGAAAGCAAAAUGAGCUACAUAUUGUUUUAUAAUGACACUUAGAUACAGCACAUGUAUAUGUCUUUUGGAAACAUCUUGAAAAGCAAAGGAAUUGUGGGAAAGUGAGAAACAAGCCUUGUAUUUCUUCCUUCCAGUGCUAGGCUCAGAAGAUAUUGUAGCAAAGAGCUGUAGACAGCCAGUGCACCUUCAUUUAAAAGCAGUUAAUACAAUCUUUGCCCCCUGCCUCAGCUUUGUUAGGUUUCAUGGUGAAGGAGGGGGAGGUUCUUCAUCAAGUUGAAUGAAAGAAUAGGAUCCCCACGAGUUCAUAGAAACUUACAUUUCAGAAAUUCAUCUACAAAAACGUUUCUUGCAUAAUGUGGUUUUUACUGUUAUUUCUGUUUUCUUCAUAUUCUAGGAGAGUAUUUUGUUUCUCACUGGGUUGCACACUGUUCUGAAAAGAAGACAAAAGGCCAAAAGACCACCAGGAUAUUUCUCCUUUUGAAGAAAACCAAUUGUUCUGGAGUAUCAAAAAUGUGCAUAAGACAAUGUGGAUCACCAGUUUCUAUCUCAGAAAAAAAAAAGUGCAUGUGUGCAUGAGUGCAGUGAUAUUACAUCUAAUAGAAACAUAGAGAAAAAAACUGAUUAAUUUGUUGUUUAAACACAAUAGUUUCAUUUUCCUUAGGUUUAUGUCUUAGAGAGAAUCAAAAAUUGAAAGACAAAAAAUAUCCUAAAUAGUAAGUAACUUAAAACUUUUUGUUUAUAUCAAUAUUUUGCCACUAAAAUAUGUAGAUUGCGGUCAUUUGACAGCUCUAAUGACUCAUGACCAUGUCCAGGGGACUACAGCCAUGCUAACCCAGUGUACCAGGAAGAACAAGAUACCUGAAAAAAACACAUUCUUGAAUUUGACGGGAGGCAUCUAAGUUCCAGUGGCAGAGAACUAGAUUGACUAUGACUCUAUGGUAUUGUCAAAGCAUAAUUUUAAGCCAUAGUGGCCCACAUCUAACGCCAAAAAGUGGUUCUGUACAGAACUUUAUAUGUUAUAGAUGAAAUCAACUCUUUCUUUGACUUUGCUUGACUUUGUUUCCUUUAACCAUUGUGUGAAAUGGAGUCAUACUUACAAACAAAUUAGCUCAUGUGGGAGAGGUAUGGGAAACACAAAGAAAAGCUCUCUGAAUUAAAUUGCUUAGAAAAAAAUUGAGCAUUUCCAUCAUUGGGGUUUUUAUUUUUUUGGGUUUCUUUAGGAAAGAGUUUAAUAAAGUUAUUCCCUUACAGUUUUUAAGCAGUAUUGAAUACCAUUCAAAUGAUACCUCACCUGUUUAGAGAGGAGUGAGGCAAAGGAAUCUCUUGUUUAUCCAUCCUGGAUGUGAAAUGUGAGCAUUUGGCUGAAACUCAGUGACACUAGAACCUGACUGAUUCCCAAGAUUCAGACCUUUGAGCAGUCCUCCCUUCUUUUGUCUGCAGAAGAAUAUUUUAUUUGUCUAUAUCAUGUGACAGACAUUGUAUACAACAGAGUGACUGAUGUAUGGAUGAUACUCCCAAUGUCCUACUAAAUGCUGAAACUAGACAUAAGAGAUCUGUAGACUUUGGCUACACAGCUGGCCAAGCAGUAGCAGAAAACUUCCAAUUGAGGAAGCAAGAGAAAUGACAGAACCAGAAAUAAGCCUGGUUUUUAACCAGAGGUAAGCUGCAGAGCCUUGGGAUAUAGUAUCUUACAAGGUAACUAAGUUGUCAAAGUCACAACUGAAUCUUCUAUUAUCCUGACAUCAAGGGUGUCAGGAUAAUAAUUUUUUUUUAAUUUUUAAAAUUUUUUAAACUGAGGGAAUAAUUAUAAAGUCAUGUUAGAACACACAUCUGGUACAAGGACAUUCAGUUUCUUUGCUCCUUUUUCUUAUAUGUAGGGUUACAUGUGCUUACAAUUCUGGAUAGGUGCUAGCUGUUCCAAGCAUUCUUGGACAGAAUAUUAGUGAAAUAAGGAGAAUAAGUGCACAGAAAAGCCACUCACAAUUCAACUUUUACUGAAUGUUUUGAAGAAGUUUUUUUUUUUUAAAUUUUGUUAUUGUAGUUGUUUGGUUCUUUUGAUGCUUUAUUUUUGUAUGUAAUACUACGAAAAUGGUGAGGGUCUUUGCUGUUGAAACUACCUUGGUUGUAUACAAAUACAACCUGGACCACUUAUCAAAUGUCUAUGUUUUCCAUACCAAAGCCUUAACUAAGUACAAAAUGCAUUUAUAUUGUUUGAAAUGCAUAUAAAUAUUUAAAAAUUAUAUAUUGAAUGUAAUAUUUUAUUAGAAUACAUCUAAUAUUAAUAAGGUUUCUUUUGAAUAUACCAUGUUUAUACCUGUCAAUAUCAAUGUUCUCAAAAUUUUAUUGUAAUAAAAAAGUAUUAAAAUUUGA